AUACAUGCAAGUCGAGCGGACCGACGGGAGCUUGCUCCCUUAGGUCAGCGGCGGACGGGUGAGUAACACGUGGGUAACCUGCCUGUAAGACUGGGAUAAYUCCGGGAAACCGGGGCUAAUACCGGAUGCUUGAUUGAACCGCAUGGUUCAAUCAUAAAAGGUGGCUUUUAGCUACCACUURCAGAUGGACCCGCGGCGCAUUAGCUAGUUGGUGAGGUAACGGCUCACCAAGGCGACGAUGCGUAGCCGACCUGAGAGGGUGAUCGGCCACACUGGGACUGAGACACGGCCCAGACUCCUACGGGAGGCAGCAGUAGGGAAUCUUCCGCAAUGGACGAAAGUCUGACGGAGCAACGCCGCGUGAGUGAUGAAGGUUUUCGGAUCGUAAAACUCUGUUGUUAGGGAAGAACAAGUACCGUUCGAAUAGGGC
RNAcentral lists this ribosomal RNA (430 nucleotides) under Bacillus sp. R-46280. RNAcentral describes it as "bacterial SSU rRNA". It matches the Rfam family "Bacterial small subunit ribosomal RNA", at positions 51 to 470 of the family's 1533-position model. The record is from RNAcentral. Lineage: Bacteria; Bacillati; Bacillota; Bacilli; Caryophanales; Bacillaceae.